CGUUGGCACUCCAGGUGCGACACUAGCGUGAAAACCCAUCAAGAAUGAUCCUUAGCUAUAAGAUUGAUACUUUGUUUAGAGAUAUAGAGAUGAAAGCAUACCUGCUAGAAGGUUGGGAAUGGUGUACCCGAUUAGAGAGCCUUUUUGACGAAGAACACAUCAGAUUCAAUGGUCGUGGGAGGAUUAGCAGAAAGAGAUCCAAGAAGAAACCUUAAUGUGUGUGUAGUACGAUA
Helianthus annuus (common sunflower) is the source of this 233-nucleotide long non-coding RNA. RefSeq lists it as uncharacterized. The record is from RefSeq and is a predicted model, not a curated record. The transcript is spliced from 2 exons. NCBI's taxonomy places the organism in Eukaryota, Viridiplantae, Streptophyta, Magnoliopsida, Asterales, Asteraceae.